AAAUUGAAGAGUUUGAUCAUGGCUCAGAUUGAACGCUGGCGGCAGGCCUAACACAUGCAAGUCGAGCGGUAACACAGAGAGCUUGCUCUCGGGUGACGAGCGGCGGACGGGUGAGUAAUGUCUGGGAAACUGCCUGAUGGAGGGGGAUAACUACUGGAAACGGUAGCUAAUACCGCAUAACGUCGCAAGACCAAAGUGGGGGACCUUCGGGCCUCAUGCCAUCAGAUGUGCCCAGAUGGGAUUAGCUAGUAGGUGGGGUAAUGGCUCACCUAGGCGACGAUCCCUAGCUGGUCUGAGAGGAUGACCAGCCACACUGGAACUGAGACACGGUCCAGACUCCUACGGGAGGCAGCAGUGGGGAAUAUUGCACAAUGGGCGCAAGCCUGAUGCAGCCAUGCCGCGUGUAUGAAGAAGGCCUUCGGGUUGUAAAGUACUUUCAGCGAGGAGGAAGGCGUUAAGGUUAAUAACCUUGGCGAUUGACGUUACUCGCAGAAGAAGCACCGGCUAACUCCGUGCCAGCAGCCGCGGUAAUACGGAGGGUGCAAGCGUUAAUCGGAAUUACUGGGCGUAAAGCGCACGCAGGCGGUCUGUCAAGUCGGAUGUGAAAUCCCCGGGCUCAACCUGGGAACUGCAUUCGAAACUGGCAGGCUAGAGUCUUGUAGAGGGGGUAGAAUUCCAGGUGUAGCGGUGAAAUGCGUAGAGAUCUGGAGGAAUACCGGUGGCGAAGGCGGCCCCCUGGACAAAGACUGACGCUCAGGUGCGAAAGCGUGGGGAGCAAACAGGAUUAGAUACCCUGGUAGUCCACGCCGUAAACGAUGUCGACUUGGAGGUUGUGCCCUUGAGGCGUGGCUUCCGGAGCUAACGCGUUAAGUCGACCGCCUGGGGAGUACGGCCGCAAGGUUAAAACUCAAAUGAAUUGACGGGGGCCCGCACAAGCGGUGGAGCAUGUGGUUUAAUUCGAUGCAACGCGAAGAACCUUACCUACUCUUGACAUCCAGAGAACUUAGCAGAGAUGCUUUGGUGCCUUCGGGAACUCUGAGACAGGUGCUGCAUGGCUGUCGUCAGCUCGUGUUGUGAAAUGUUGGGUUAAGUCCCGCAACGAGCGCAACCCUUAUCCUUUGUUGCCAGCGGUCCGGCCGGGAACUCAAAGGAGACUGCCAGUGAUAAACUGGAGGAAGGUGGGGAUGACGUCAAGUCAUCAUGGCCCUUACGAGUAGGGCUACACACGUGCUACAAUGGCAUAUACAAAGAGAAGCGACCUCGCGAGAGCAAGCGGACCUCAUAAAGUAUGUCGUAGUCCGGAUUGGAGUCUGCAACUCGACUCCAUGAAGUCGGAAUCGCUAGUAAUCGUAGAUCAGAAUGCUACGGUGAAUACGUUCCCGGGCCUUGUACACACCGCCCGUCACACCAUGGGAGUGGGUUGCAAAAGAAGUAGGUAGCUUAACCUUCGGGAGGGCGCUUACCACUUUGUGAUUCAUGACUGGGGUGAAGUCGUAACAAGGUAACCGUAGGGGAACCUGCGGUUGGAUCACCUCCUUACCUUAAAGAA
Molecule: ribosomal RNA, 1549 nt
Filed under: Klebsiella aerogenes
Lineage: Bacteria; Pseudomonadati; Pseudomonadota; Gammaproteobacteria; Enterobacterales; Enterobacteriaceae
Description: 16S ribosomal RNA
Rfam family: Bacterial small subunit ribosomal RNA
Source: RNAcentral